CUUCUCGUAGCUUAGUGGUAUAGCAAUGGUGUGUACAGCCAAGAACCCGGGUUCAAUUCCCGGCGAGGGCG
Molecule: transfer RNA, 71 nt
Filed under: Agrilus planipennis (emerald ash borer)
Lineage: Eukaryota; Metazoa; Arthropoda; Insecta; Coleoptera; Buprestidae
Rfam family: tRNA
About the family: Transfer RNA (tRNA) molecules are approximately 80 nucleotides in length. Their secondary structure includes four short double-helical elements and three loops (D, anti-codon, and T loops).
Source: Rfam by way of RNAcentral